This 253-nucleotide ribosomal RNA is filed under the name uncultured bacterium. Its description in RNAcentral is "partial 16S ribosomal RNA". It matches the Rfam family "Bacterial small subunit ribosomal RNA", at positions 524 to 776 of the family's 1533-position model. The record is from RNAcentral.
UACGGAGGAUCCAAGCGUUAUCCGGAUUUAUUGGGUUUAAAGGGUGCGUAGGUGGUUCUUUAAGUCAGGGGUGAAAGACGGUAGCUUAACUAUCGCAGUGCCUUUGAUACUGAAGAACUUGAAUACACUAGAGGUAGGCGGAAUGUGACAAGUAGCGGUGAAAUGCAUAGAUAUGUCACAGAACACCAAUUGCGAAGGCAGCUUACUAUGGUGUCAUUGACACUGAGGCACGAAAGCGUGGGGAUCAAACAGG